RNAcentral lists this ribosomal RNA (325 nucleotides) under uncultured eukaryote. RNAcentral's name for it is "partial 18S ribosomal RNA". It matches the Rfam family "Eukaryotic small subunit ribosomal RNA", at positions 1470 to 1796 of the family's 1831-position model. The record is from RNAcentral.
CCCUUAGAUGUUCUGGGCCGCACGCGCGCUACACUGAUGCAUUCAACGAGCCUAUCCUUGACCGACAGGUCCGGGUAAUCUUUGAAUCUGCAUCGUGACGGGGAUAGAUUAUUGCAAUUAUUAAUCUUCAACGAGGAAUGCCUAGUAGGCGCAAGUCAUCAGCUUGCGUCGAUUGCGUCCCUGCCCUUUGUACACACCGCCCGUCGCUCCUACCGAUUGGGUGUGCUGGUGAAAUGUUCGGAUCGGCCGUUUGUCGCGGUUUCCGCGUCAUGUGGCUGCGAAGUUCAUUAAACCCUCCCACCUAGAGGAAGGAGAAGUCGUAACA